GUCCAUACUUUGGAAUAAAAAGGAUUCGAGACCUGAUUGAGCACCUGAAGAGUGGAGAGAGGCUAACAAGUCCACCAGCCUGUCCUGCUAAUGUGUACAAAAUAAUGGUAUCCUGCUGGAGAUUGGUCCCUGAUAAAAGGCCUGGCUUUGAUGAUCUGCACAAUGAGCUGAUGAAAAUUCAAGAGACAAUUUCCCAGGAUGUUGGAGGAACAAUAAAUCCUACUUACGAAGAUGAUGGUGAAUAUGUGGAUGUGCUGCCCCAUGAGUAUGAGCAGUAGAGCUUUGAGAUAAUAUUCCUCUCAAAAUGAUAGCUAUUGGGGAAAGUAUAGUGAAAAAGCAGGAAACAUUGGUUUCUGAAGAUGCACAGGCCAAUAGGCACAGUAAUUUGAUGUUUGUGUAGAAUAAAAGGAAAAUAAAAUGAUGUACUAAGAAUAUAAAAUGUAUAUGACUGUGUAGUCUGCAUAGUGAAAAAGUGGCAAACAAGGCUUUUACUUCCUUACUAUCCGACACUGGUUUUGUUGACUCCAUUUGCUUUGCAACAAGAAUUCACUACAGUUGUAUAAAAGUAGGAGUAUGACUAUGUAAUGUAUGUAUAAAAGUAUGCCUUUGAUGAAAUAUUUCAUUUACAAUACAUGUAUACAGUUUGGACUUCAUAAUCUUUAUCUAUUUGUUGACUUCUACAAAGUAAUGUUUGAGAGUUUCCUUGUUUAAGACUAAACAUACAAGUAUGUAUCAUACAAUUGUAGCAUCUUUUGGCACAUAAAUUCAUUGCAUGUGCAUAUACCUGCAUGUAUAUUUCAUUGUAUUAUCACUGGAUUAUAUAUAUUUUUCCUUAAUAUGUACAACAAAGGAAUCUUCUUGAAAGAUAAUCAGUAAUUUUGAGUGACCAAAGCUAUUGUUGAUAUCAAGGUUACUGUACUACUUUGUAUCUUAAUUUGAACUAUUUUUUUUGCGCCAUAUUAUGGUCUUAUAGGGUGUGGUUAAUUGGUUUUAGGGAACAGAGAAUUGAAGGAUUUGAAAUACUGGUAAAGCUUAGAGUGCUAUGAGCUAGUUGUCUCUAAUACUAUGUGUGUGUGUAUGAGAAUACUGUGUCAAUUAUUGUCACAGAUAAACCUUCAUACAAUAGUACUGUAAAAAAUGUUUGAAAUUCUACAUAAUAAAUGAUGA
Branchiostoma floridae (Florida lancelet) is the source of this 1167-nucleotide long non-coding RNA. RefSeq lists it as uncharacterized. The record is from RefSeq and is a predicted model, not a curated record. NCBI's taxonomy places the organism in Eukaryota, Metazoa, Chordata, Leptocardii, Amphioxiformes, Branchiostomatidae. The transcript has 3 exons.